Long non-coding RNA from Hypanus sabinus (Atlantic stingray), 154 nucleotides. RefSeq lists it as uncharacterized. The transcript has 3 exons. Lineage: Eukaryota; Metazoa; Chordata; Chondrichthyes; Myliobatiformes; Dasyatidae. The record is from RefSeq and is a predicted model, not a curated record.
GAAUCACUAGGGAAGGAUGCAUGGCGAGCACAGAGCAGAGUGUCUGUCUAAAUCAAUAAUCUUCUUUCCUGGAAAGUGGACUAAGGUUCCAUAGCUCCACGAAAGGACAUUAUCCCUUGCUAGACUCUCUCCUGCCGGAAGAUCGUCAGCUCGC